UUUUGCGUAGCAAGUAUGAGUUUUGGAGCAUGAAAAAGUGUGACCGUCUGACUCUCAGGGAUGUACCUACGAAAACGAACUUAACCCACCUAGCCCGCCGCUAUUUAAACAGACGAAAUCUUUGAGCUAAACCGCGAAAAAUAAUUGUUGAGUUAUGGAGUUAGGGGCAUAGGAGCAUAGUGCCCUCCUCUUCCCUCCUGCGCGACGCUUUACCUCAUCGGCUUGGACCGGCUCUAUUUGGCGAGACGCUUUCUGGACACAAACUGAUAUUCCGCGAUCCCCUCCUCUAGCCCCACCCGCAGGUCGCACCCUCGGGUGGCUAGGAAUUCCUCUUGCGUGCCCGCGGUCAGCGAUAUGUAUACCAUCGUUUACCAGGGGCUUCACGCUUCUGGUCUUCCGGUUCAUAUGAUCGAGUGCAAUUUGACUGCAGAAAAUAUCCUUGAUCCUUGGCCCAUGAUAAGGACCAAAUGAAGUAUUUUUGUCUUACGAUCACAGGAAGCUGUCGCACUCCAAGGUCGGACCACAAAUAACAAAGAAAUAAAAAUAUGCAUGCAUUAUGAAAUUUGCCAAAAAUCGGCAGAGAUUUGAUGCCGCUCAACAGUGUGGAUCCUCACGAUCCUGGGAGAGUUGGUCCUUCAACAAUCGUCCCAUAAAGAGAUAUAGCCUUUUGAAGAUUUAGAUUUCAUAUGAAUACUGGUUCUUUCUGAACGCUAUAUCUCUACUAUACGGCAGCCGAUCGGAGUACGGCAUGUCUUUUCGAGAUCGGGAGGGUCCUGCCAAUCGACUGCCAUCGGAAAAAGGGACAUCCAUUUUUUCACGAUUUUCGCAAAAAAUCAUGAUGGUUACAUCAUGAAAUUUGACAAAAAUCGGCCUCAUUUUCAUAGUCGAGAUUUUGAUGCCGCUCAACAGUGUGGAUCCUCACGAUGCUGGGAGAGUUGGUCCGUCAACAAUCUGGCCCUAUUUAUCCGGGAUAUAGCCUUCCGAAGAUUUCCAUAUCAUUAAAAUACUGUUACUUUAUUGAACUCUAUCUUUCUUUUUAGCAGGUCGCACCCUCGGGUGGCUAGGAAUACCUCUUGCGUGCCCGCGGUCACCGAUUCGCUUGUUUACCAGGGGCAUCACCCUUUUGGUCUUCCGGUUUAUAUGAGCGAGUGUGCGAUGAUUCCGGUCGCGCGCGGCUGGGGCCUUUUGUCCGACAUUUUGGUCCGGCCACUACCAUGGCCCUCUUCCCUGCAUGCCACGCUGUUUUCUUCGUCUUUUCAGUUCGCUCGCUGUCGGUAACUCCUCGUCCUCUGUGGCAGCCACUGACUGGCCUAUCCUGAUGACGCUGCUGUGUAGCUGGCCCUGCUAGUGGCGCCCGUCCGCUGCAGCAGUGACCAGUGAUCGACGGCGGAGUUGUUGGUUCACGCCAACGGGAAAUAAUGUCAGCAACCCCGCUUUCAUAAACUGCCGAAUCAAACGCUGGGCUUCAGCUUCACGACACAGGACUUACUUAUGUACCCUACGCUUUGCCACAAGCCAUGUCGUAUCUGAUUUGACCCAGCCAGACGGUCCUAUCCAAGCAUGAGCGAGGCGUUUUCGAGUCAGACCGAGUAUCCCAUUGCAAGAUUCAUACCUAAAAAGCCAUCGUCAUCCUUCAACAUGGUGAUCGACAACAAGGACUUUGAUUAUGGCCACCAAGGGAAGCGCUACGCGGGACGCUAGAUACACGCAUCCAUUCAUUCAGAUAGUACUUAAAAAAUGUUUUCCACUUGUUUAUUUAUUUAUACUAAGCUAAGUUUUGAUGAAUAAAACUAUUGAAAAAUCA
Long non-coding RNA from Drosophila miranda, 1804 nucleotides. RefSeq lists it as uncharacterized. The record is from RefSeq and is a predicted model, not a curated record. The transcript is spliced from 5 exons. Lineage: Eukaryota; Metazoa; Arthropoda; Insecta; Diptera; Drosophilidae.